AGUGAACGCUGGCGGUAGGCCUAACACAUGCAAGUCGAACGGCAGCACAGUAAGAGCUUGCUCUUACGGGUGGCGAGUGGCGGACGGGUGAGGAAUACAUCGGAAUCUACUUUUUCGUGGGGGAUAGCGUAGGGAAACUUACGCUAAUACCGCAUACGACCUACGGGUGAAAGCAGGGGAUCUUCGGACCUUGCGCGAUUGAAUGAGCCGAUGUCGGAUUAGCUAGUUGGCGGGGUAAAGGCCCACCAAGGCGACGAUCCGUAGCUGGUCUGAGAGGAUGAUCAGCCACACUGGAACUGAGACACGGUCCAGACUCCUACGGGAGGCAGCAGUGGGGAAUAUUGGACAAUGGGCGCAAGCCUGAUCCAGCCAUACCGCGUGGGUGAAGAAGGCCUUCGGGUUGUAAAGCCCUUUUGUUGGGAAAGAAAAGCAGCAGGUUAAUACCCCGCUGUUCUGGCGGUACCCAAAGAAUAAGCACCGGCUAACUUCGUG
RNAcentral lists this ribosomal RNA (492 nucleotides) under uncultured bacterium. RNAcentral's name for it is "partial 16S ribosomal RNA". It matches the Rfam family "Bacterial small subunit ribosomal RNA", at positions 29 to 507 of the family's 1533-position model. The record is from RNAcentral.